This 59-nucleotide microRNA precursor is filed under the name Nautilus pompilius. Its description in RNAcentral is "Npo-Mir-1984_pre stem-loop". The record is from RNAcentral. Lineage: Eukaryota; Metazoa; Mollusca; Cephalopoda; Nautilida; Nautilidae.
UGCCCUAUACCUCAGUCGCUGACAUAAAUUAAAUUGCAGAGAUUGAUGUAUGUGGCUUG